AGCGAACGCUGGCGGCAGGCCUAACACAUGCAAGUCGAACGAACUCUUCGGAGUUAGUGGCGGACGGGUGAGUAACACGUGGGAACGUGCCUUUAGGUUCGGAAUAACUCAGGGAAACUUGUGCUAAUACCGAAUGUGCCCUUCGGGGGAAAGAUUUAUCGCCUUUAGAGCGGCUCGCGUCUGAUUAGCUAGUUGGUGAGGUAAAGGCUCACCAAGGCGACGAUCAGUAGCUGGUCUGAGAGGAUGAUCAGCCACAUUGGGACUGAGACACGGCCCAAACUCCUACGGGAGGCAGCAGUGGGGAAUCUUGCGCAAUGGGCGAAAGCCUGACGCAGCCAUGCCGCGUGAAUGAUGAAGGUCUUAGGAUUGUAAAAUUCUUUCACCGGGGACGAUAAUGACGGUACCCGGAGAAGAAGCCCCGGCUAACUUCGUG
This 433-nucleotide ribosomal RNA is filed under the name uncultured bacterium. Its description in RNAcentral is "partial 16S ribosomal RNA". It matches the Rfam family "Bacterial small subunit ribosomal RNA", at positions 29 to 507 of the family's 1533-position model. The record is from RNAcentral.